UACGUAGGGGGCAAGCGUUGUCCGGAAUCAUUGGGCGUAAAGCGCGUGUAGGCGGCUUUGCAAGUCGGAUGUGAAAGCCCACGGCUCAACCGUGGAAGUGCAUCCGAAACUGCAUGGCUUGAGUCUCGGAGAGGAAGGUGGAAUGCUUGGUGUAGAGGUGAAAUUCGUAGAUAUCAAGCAGAACACCUGCGGCGAAGGCGGCCUUCUGGACGAUGACUGACGCUGAGACGCGAAAGCGUGGGGAGCAAACAGG
Molecule: ribosomal RNA, 253 nt
Filed under: uncultured bacterium
Lineage: Bacteria
Description: partial 16S ribosomal RNA
Rfam family: Bacterial small subunit ribosomal RNA
Source: RNAcentral